Molecule: transfer RNA, 75 nt
Filed under: Stenotrophomonas maltophilia
Lineage: Bacteria; Pseudomonadati; Pseudomonadota; Gammaproteobacteria; Lysobacterales; Lysobacteraceae
Description: tRNA-OTHER
Source: RNAcentral
GACCCCUUGAUACUCUUGGCCCCGUCGCCCCCUCCUAAGGGAAGGUCGCCCGUUCGAAUCGGGCCGGGGUCACCA